GAGCGGUGAUGAUGAAUGCGCCUUGUGAUGGAUGGUCUCCAUCAAUCAUCUGAUCGACAGAUGAGAUCAGGCGCCUCUGAGCUC
Non-coding RNA from Ricinus communis (castor bean), 84 nucleotides. NCBI's taxonomy places the organism in Eukaryota, Viridiplantae, Streptophyta, Magnoliopsida, Malpighiales, Euphorbiaceae. The record is from Rfam.